AGCAGAGGUGAUUUCCAGGCAUGUUUUCACUCUGCAGAUAUAAUAACAGUCAACAGACUCUUCUAUUGGCUCCAGUCAGACCAACAUUGAUGCUUCAUAUGUUUGAUUCUAUGCAAACUCAGUGAGCUUCCUUGUUACUCAGCUAUAAAAACUUCCCAUCAGGCUGUCAGUGGAGUUCACAGCACGUCAGUUUCAACAUCAACCAUGUUUUCUGUAACUCUGCUGCUGCUGUUGGCAGCUGGAUAUGUGAAGUGUGAACAGUUGACACAGCCAGCCUCUGUGACUGUGCAGCCAGGUCAACGUCUGACCAUCACCUGUCAGGUCUCUUAUUCUGUUAGUGGCUACUGGACAGCCUGGAUCAGACAGCCUGCAGGGAAAGGACUGGAGUGGAUUAUAUUUGGAGGUGGUGGAUACAGCACAUACAUCAAAGAUUCCCUGAAGAACAAGUUCAGUAUCAAUUUCGACUCUUCCAGCAACACAGUGACUCUAAAUGGACAGAAUGUGCAGUCUGAAGACACUGCUGUGUAUUACUGUGCCAGAGAGCCACAAUAACACAAAUCAUCAGUAGACCUGAACAAAAACCCCUCAGUGCCUGAACACUUGUAACAUGAAGCCACCAGAGGAGGAGCCCUCAGACCACUAAUGAUCUCAACACCAGUUCACUGUUACAGUAAAGAGGAAAAGACACAUUCAACAAUGAUAAAGAAAAAGGAAUACAACAUAUUUCAUUAGAAUCCAAAAUAACACUAUUAUUGAAUGUAGCAGAGACAUUAUCUAAAAAGUGACUUCUCUGUGUGACUCACAAUUAAUGGACUAAUGAUGACAUUUUUUCAGCUCAUAAUUGUCUGAUAUCUAAAUUAUGUUCAGCGAUCUC
Non-coding RNA from Acanthopagrus latus (yellowfin seabream), 874 nucleotides. The record is from the annotation of a RefSeq genome assembly. Lineage: Eukaryota; Metazoa; Chordata; Actinopteri; Spariformes; Sparidae.